RNAcentral lists this ribosomal RNA (565 nucleotides) under uncultured bacterium. Its description in RNAcentral is "bacterial SSU rRNA". It matches the Rfam family "Bacterial small subunit ribosomal RNA", at positions 28 to 584 of the family's 1533-position model. The record is from RNAcentral.
AUUGAACGCUAGCGGGAUGCUUUACACAUGCAAGUCGAACGGCAGCGCGGGUCUUCGGACCUGGCGGCGAGUGGCGAACGGGUGAGUAAUGUAUCGGAACGUGCCCAGUAGCGGGGGAUAACUACUCGAAAGAGUGGCUAAUACCGCAUACGCCCUACGGGGGAAAGGGGGGGAUCCUUCGGGACCUCUCACUAUUGGAGCGGCCGAUAUCGGAUUAGCUAGUUGGUGGGGUAAAGGCCUACCAAGGCGUCGAUCCGUAGCUGGUUUGAGAGGACGACCAGCCACACUGGGACUGAGACACGGCCCAGACUCCUACGGGAGGCAGCAGUGGGGAAUUUUGGACAAUGGGGGCAACCCUGAUCCAGCCAUCCCGCGUGUGCGAUGAAGGCCUUCGGGUUGUAAAGCACUUUUGGCAGGGAAGAAAAGCUCCGGUUAAUACCCGGUAGCUGCUGACGGUACCUGCAGAAUAAGCACCGGCUAACUACGUGCCAGCAGCCGCGGUAAUACCUAGGGUGCAAGCCGUUAUCGGAAUUACUGGGCGUAAAGCGUGCGCAGGCGGUUCGGC